AAUAGAUACCCCGGUAGUCCACGCCGUAAACGAUGAGUGCUAAGUGCUAGGGGGUUUCCGCCCCCUUAGUGCUGCAGCCAACGCAUUAAGCACUCCGCCUGGGGAGUACGGUCGCAAGACUGAAACUCAAAGGAAUUGACGGGGGCCCGCACAAGCGGUGGAGCAUGUGGUUUAAUUCGAAGCAACGCGAAGAACCUUACCAGGUCUUGACAUCCCAUUGACCACUAUAGAGACAUAGUUUUCCCUUCGGGGACAACGGUGACAGGUGGUGCAUGGUUGUCGUCAGCUCGUGUCGUGAGAUGUUGGGUUAAGUCCCGCAACGAGCGCAACCCUUGUUCUUAGUUGCCAUCAUUUAGUUGGGCACUCUAAGGAGACUGCCGGUGACAAACCGGAGGAAGGUGGGGAUGACGUCAAAUCAUCAUGCCCCUUAUGACCUGGGCUACACACGUGCUACAAUGGACGGUACAAACGGUUGCCAACCCGCGAGGGGGAGCUAAUCCGAUAAAACCGUCCUCAGUUCGGAUUGUAGGCUGCAACUCGCCUACA
Molecule: ribosomal RNA, 546 nt
Filed under: uncultured bacterium
Lineage: Bacteria
Description: bacterial SSU rRNA
Rfam family: Bacterial small subunit ribosomal RNA
Source: RNAcentral